Molecule: ribosomal RNA, 1404 nt
Filed under: Yersinia mollaretii
Lineage: Bacteria; Pseudomonadati; Pseudomonadota; Gammaproteobacteria; Enterobacterales; Yersiniaceae
Description: partial 23S ribosomal RNA
Rfam family: Bacterial large subunit ribosomal RNA
Source: RNAcentral
CUUAUCAACGCUGAGGUGUGAUGACGAUGCACUACGGUGCAGAAGUAGUUGAUGCCAAGCUUCCAGGAAAAGCCUCUAAGCAUCAGGUAACAUUGAAUCGUACCCCAAACCGACACAGGUGGUCAGGUAGAGAAUACUCAGGCGCUUGAGAGAACUCGGGUGAAGGAACUAGGCAAAAUGGUGCCGUAACUUCGGGAGAAGGCACGCUGGCAUUAGGUAAAGAGACUUGCUCUCGGCGCCGAAGCCAGUCGCAGAUACCAGCUGGCUGCAACUGUUUAAUAAAAACACAGCACUGUGCAAACACGAAAGUGGACGUAUACGGUGUGACGCCUGCCCGGUGCUGGAAGGUUAAUUGAUGGGGUCAGCCGCAAGGCGAAGCUCUUGAUCGAAGCCCCAGUAAACGGCGGCCGUAACUAUAACGGUCCUAAGGUAGCGAAAUUCCUUGUCGGGUAAGUUCCGACCUGCACGAAUGGCGUAAUGAUGGCCAGGCUGUCUCCACCCGAGACUCAGUGAAAUUGAACUCGCUGUGAAGAUGCAGUGUACCCGCGGCAAGACGGAAAGACCCCGUGAACCUUUACUAUAGCUUGACACUGAACAUUGAGCCUUGAUGUGUAGGAUAGGUGGGAGGCAUCGAAGUGUGGACGCCAGUCUGCAUGGAGCCAACCUUGAAAUACCACCCUUUAAUGUUUGAUGUUCUAACUCGGCCCCGUGAUCCGGGGUGAGGACAGUGUCUGGUGGGUAGUUUGACUGGGGCGGUCUCCUCCCAAAGAGUAACGGAGGAGCACGAAGGUUAGCUAAUCACGGUCGGACAUCGUGAGGUUAGUGCAAAGGCAUAAGCUAGCUUGACUGCGAGAGUGACGGCUCGAGCAGGUACGAAAGUAGGUCUUAGUGAUCCGGUGGUUCUGAAUGGAAGGGCCAUCGCUCAACGGAUAAAAGGUACUCCGGGGAUAACAGGCUGAUACCGCCCAAGAGUUCAUAUCGACGGCGGUGUUUGGCACCUCGAUGUCGGCUCAUCACAUCCUGGGGCUGAAGUAGGUCCCAAGGGUAUGGCUGUUCGCCAUUUAAAGUGGUACGCGAGCUGGGUUUAGAACGUCGUGAGACAGUUCGGUCCCUAUCUGCCGUGGGCGUUGGAAGAUUGAGAGGGGCUGCUCCUAGUACGAGAGGACCGGAGUGGACGAAUCACUGGUGUUCGGGUUGUCAUGCCAAUGGCAUUGCCCGGUAGCUAAAUUCGGAAGAGAUAACCGCUGAAAGCAUCUAAGCGGGAAACUUGCCUCGAGAUGAGUCUUCCCUGGGGCUUUAAGCCCCCUGAAGGAACGUUAAAGACUAUGACGUUGAUAGGCUGGGUGUGUAAGUGCAGCGAUGCAUUGAGCUAACCAGUACUAAUGAUCCGUGAGGCUUAACCUU